AGCUCCAAUAGCGUAUAUUAAAGUUGUUGCAGUUAAAAAGCUCGUAGUUGGAUUUCGGGAUGGGCCAGUUGGUCGGCCGCAAGGUCUGUUACUGACUGGUUUGUUCUUCUUCGCAAAGACUGCGUGUGCUCUUUACUGAGUGUGCGUAGGAUUUACGACGUUUACUUUGAAAAAAUUAGAGUGUUCAAAGCAGGCUAUCGCUUGAAUACAUGAGCAUGGAAUAAUGGAAUAGGACUUUGGUUCUAUUUUGUUGGUUUCUAGGGCCGAAGUAAUGAUUAAGAGGGACAAUUGGGGGCAUCCGUAUUUCGUUGUCAGAGGUGAAAUUCUUGGAUUUACGAAAGACGAACAACUGCGAAAGCACUUGCCAAGAGUGUUUUCAUUAAUCAAGAACGAAAGUAGG
This 400-nucleotide ribosomal RNA is filed under the name phytoplankton environmental sample. RNAcentral's name for it is "partial small subunit ribosomal RNA". It matches the Rfam family "Eukaryotic small subunit ribosomal RNA", at positions 587 to 993 of the family's 1831-position model. The record is from RNAcentral.